Molecule: non-coding RNA, 46 nt
Filed under: Schistosoma mansoni
Lineage: Eukaryota; Metazoa; Platyhelminthes; Trematoda; Strigeidida; Schistosomatidae
Source: RNAcentral
GGACUGCUGAGGAGUUCAAUACUAGGACGAAACGACCGUCCAGUAU